Gossypium arboreum is the source of this 678-nucleotide long non-coding RNA. RefSeq lists it as uncharacterized. The transcript has 2 exons. The record is from RefSeq and is a predicted model, not a curated record. NCBI's taxonomy places the organism in Eukaryota, Viridiplantae, Streptophyta, Magnoliopsida, Malvales, Malvaceae.
GUCACUUAUGAACUCAUUCCAUUCACGUGAUACAAGCUUAUGUUGUAAACAGCAAUCACCCACUAAUUUGAUUCUCUCUUUAUGGUUUUUGAUUGAAAUGUAAACUGUUUCCAUAUAAGUAUACAAAUGUGUAGGAUUCUAUAUAAGUGGUGGUAGACUCCAUCAUCCUUAUCAAACCACCCCAGCCCUUAGCAACAUAUUUAACAUCAAUCAAACAUGUGUAUCUGUGUCAAAUGCGGAUGCUUUAGCUGCAAACAUGAAACCCCCGCGAAAGCCGAUGAUGAGAAUCAAGAAACCGGCUUUCUCGACGUUAUGCUCGCAAUCUUUCUGCCCCCAGUUGCGAUAUAUAAAAAGGAAAAAGGUUGCACGGCCAAAUUCUGGGUAAAUAUAUUGCUCUCGUCCGUGGCAGUUGUGCCAGGAAGCAUCCAUGCCGCCAUCGUCAUAUCAUCUUGAAGUGAAAGAUAUUGUGAAGUUAGAUAUGGUCCUUUUUCGUGUUACUACUCAUUUUAAUCCUCAACAAACAAACUAUGUAGUGCUACGUAAGAUUUGAUGUCCUUUACUGCUGAAUCCUUGUUUUGUGGCUCAGGGUCUAUUGGCUCGACAACGGCAUUGUUGGUGCUAAUUGUUACCUGGAAAAGAAAUGGUUGGUGAAUAAAAUUUAUGUAAUGUUUGGUAGAA